RNAcentral lists this long non-coding RNA (199 nucleotides) under Musa acuminata (dwarf banana). RNAcentral describes it as "long non-coding RNA (MACU_LNC011353)". The record is from RNAcentral. Lineage: Eukaryota; Viridiplantae; Streptophyta; Magnoliopsida; Zingiberales; Musaceae.
UCCCUUCUAUGUACCACAACAUUGUUAGUCUUUCCUAACAUAGUCCAUAAUGACCCCUGUAAUUUGUCUUGUCAAGACAAUCCUGUUAUUACAUUCAACCAUAAUAUGCAUAAACAUAAAUGUAAACAGGAUAGCAGAAACAGAUAACUUUAAUUAAGUAAAAUAUCAAUAAUAGCAUCCACAUAAACAUGCAUCACCA